Molecule: ribosomal RNA, 490 nt
Filed under: uncultured bacterium
Lineage: Bacteria
Description: partial 16S ribosomal RNA
Rfam family: Bacterial small subunit ribosomal RNA
Source: RNAcentral
AUUGAACGCUGGCGGCAGGCCUAACACAUGCAAGUCGAACGGUAACAGGAAGAAGCUUGCUUCUUUGCUGACGAGUGGCGGACGGGUGAGUAAUGUCUGGGAAACUGCCUGAUGGAGGGGGAUAACUACUGGAAACGGUAGCUAAUACCUCAUAACGUCGCAAGACCAAAGAGGGGGACCUUCGGGCCUCUUGCCAUCGGAUGUGCCCAGAUGGGAUUAGCUAGUAGGUGGGGUAACGGCUCACCUAGGCGACGAUCCCUAGCUGGUCUGAGAGGAUGACCAGCCACACUGGAACUGAGACACGGUCCAGACUCCUACGGGAGGCAGCAGUGGGGAAUAUUGCACAAUGGGCGCAAGCCUGAUGCAGCCAUGCCGCGUGUAUGAAGAAGGCCUUCGGGUUGUAAAGUACUUUCAGCGGGGAGGAAGGGAGUAAAGUUAAUACCUUUGCUCAUUGACGUUACCCGCAGAAGAAGCACCGGCUAACUCCGUG